ACCGUAGUUUGAUCCUGGCUCAGAACAACGCUGGCGGCAUGCCUAACACAUGCAAGUCGAACGAGACCUUCGGGUCUAGUGGCGCACGGGUGCGUAACGCGUGGGAAUCUGCCCUUCGGUUCGGAAUAACUCAGGGAAACUUGAGCUAAUACCGGAUAAUGACGUAAGUCCAAAGAUUUAUCGCCGAAGGAUGAGCCCGCGUAGGAUUAGCUUGUUGGUGGGGUAAUGGCCCACCAAGGCGACGAUCCUUAGCUGGUCUGAGAGGAUGAUCAGCCACACUGGGACUGAGACACGGCCCAGACUCCUACGGGAGGCAGCAGUGGGGAAUAUUGGACAAUGGGCGAAAGCCUGAUCCAGCAAUGCCGCGUGGGUGAUGAAGGCCUUCGGGUUGUAAAGCCCUGUCGGGAGGGACGAAUCAAUGACGGUACCUCCCAAGAAAGCACCGGCUAACUCCGUG
Molecule: ribosomal RNA, 457 nt
Filed under: uncultured bacterium
Lineage: Bacteria
Description: bacterial SSU rRNA
Rfam family: Bacterial small subunit ribosomal RNA
Source: RNAcentral